Molecule: small nuclear RNA, 90 nt
Filed under: Cavia porcellus (domestic guinea pig)
Lineage: Eukaryota; Metazoa; Chordata; Mammalia; Rodentia; Caviidae
Source: RNAcentral
GUUCCACUUGGGCAGCACAGUCUUGAAAUUGGAGCAAUUCAGAGAAGAGUAGCAUGGUCCCUGCAAACUUGUGAAGCAUUCCAUAUUUUU